AUAUGAAUUACAGAUUAGAUUUAGGAAUUAGUAUAAUUCUCACAAUACAGAUAGCUUUCCAAAGUUUAUAAAUCAAGCAAACAAUAGAAUAGACAUUGUAUGAUUAGGAAAGUAAAAUCCUUACUCACUAAAAUUAAAAUUCAUAAAGCUUGUUUCAGUAGAGGCCAAAUUAGUUAUUGUGCAAGUUGAUCAGUAAAUGAAGAAUCAAAAUUGACAACAUUUUCAGCUAAUCGUUGUGACUCAAAGACUUAUACUUUGUUGAUCAAACUUUGUCAGCUAAAGGCUUAUACAAAACUUUUGAUAUUAGUUUACACUACCAUGAGGUAUAAAUAGGAACUGCCUGUAAGAAAACUAAUGAAACAAAUUCAUGUACAUAGGCAAAAAAAAUAAAAAUAAGUAAAUAAAUUGAACAAUCAAGAAAGUGCUCAGUUUUUUUGAAACGAUACAUUCAGUUUUAGUUACACAAAUUAACGCGCGUGUGUGUGUAUAUAUAUAUAUAAUAAGACUAAAAUCCUUUGUCACUAACUGAAACUGCAUUGCAAAAUAAAUGUAAUCACAUUUGUGUUCUUCCGUCCUGUACUAUUUGAUCAAUAUGUCAAAUUUGAAAUAAAGCGAUGGACAACUCUCCUUUAUCUCUCUAAGAUACCUCUGACAAAUUAUCAAAUGGAAAACUUAAAACUAAAAGGAAGAACCUUACAACACUUCGAACAAUAGCUUUCCUAAAUAAUAGUACACUCAAAGAGGGAAAAUAGGAAUUCUCAAAUUCAAUUUUAUAAGAACACAGGCUGGAAAAAUAUCCCAUUCAGUUCAGAUAUAAGAGAAGUAUUAAGGAUAACAGCAUAUAUACUUAACCUAUCGGAUACACAGUUUAGACUUCAGGGUUACAAUUGUUGUGGAAGUUGUAUUAUUAUUGCAAACAAUUAUCCGGUUCUCAAACAGAACGAAGUUAAACGGGGAACGAAAUUGAAUACAAAACCAUCAAUAUGAAAUAUAAGCAUUCAACAAAAACACUAUCAAGAAAAAUAACAAUCAUAUCACUCAGAAUUUGUGCAGCAAAGACACUGAUGAGGUUUAGUUCAAUCAGUAAUACCCAGCAUCUUACAGAACAGUUGACCAACAUGCAUAAUCAAAUAAAUUUUAGGUUUCGGAUCCAAAACCAUUGUAGGAAUGAGGUUCCAGAAUUAACCUAAACACACUCAAAUUCCAAUUCUAGAUACACAAAGAUUUUAAAUUCAAGGGUCAGUUUGCAAAACUGAAGCUUGAGAUAACAAUGAAAACAUGCAAUCUUUUAUCGUCAGAUUCAUGAAAAUCCAAUACAUUCCAUAGAUUUGCUCAAAUCUGAUUUCUUGACCAACUUAUCCGAUUCCAGAGAAGAUAAAAACAAAACCCAAAACAUUUAAAAUAUCAAUACGAAUCAGAUUGAUGCAUGAAGGUUACCGCAAAAUCUCACCGAGCUUAUGCUAUUUCCGCUCUGCGGGGCAGCUCCAAGUUUUAGUAGCAGUUUCCUUCCAGACCUUUCAACCAAUCGAUACGAAUACGAUAAAUUGGAUCGGAUUUUGCUGACAAUUGCAGUGAUUGGGCGACGAAGAAUAAAGAGAGAAUGAGAGCAGUUGGCAAAAAGGGAGAAACUUUUCUGAUCUUGUAAUCUUUGUAUUGAAAAGAGUUUGAGGGAGAGGCAGAAAUCUUGGGCAGAGAAGUAUUUCUAGAGAGUUUGAGAGUUUUGGCAGAGAAGAAUCUGGACAGUCUGACGCGAGGAGAAUAUGAGGGAGAAAGAAAUCUCGGCGAGAGAGAGUAAGAAGACUCUAGAG
This 1808-nucleotide long non-coding RNA is filed under the name Fragaria vesca (wild strawberry). RNAcentral's name for it is "long non-coding RNA (FVES_LNC004475)". The record is from RNAcentral. Lineage: Eukaryota; Viridiplantae; Streptophyta; Magnoliopsida; Rosales; Rosaceae.